AGGGAAACCGAGUCUUAACUGGGCGUUAAGUUGCAGGGUAUAGACCCGAAACCCGGUGAUCUAGCCAUGGGCAGGUUGAAGGUUGGGUAACACUAACUGGAGGACCGAACCGACUAAUGUUGAAAAAUUAGCGGAUGACUUGUGGCUGGGGGUGAAAGGCCAAUCAAACCGGGAGAUAGCUGGUUCUCCCCGAAAGCUAUUUAGGUAGCGCCUCGUGAACUCAUCUUCGGGGGUAGAGCACUGUUUCGGCUAGGGGGUCAUCCCGACUUACCAACCCGAUGCAAACUGCGAAUACCGAAGAAUGUUAUCACGGGAGACACACGGCGGGUGCUAACGUCCGUCGUGAAGAGGGAAACAACCCAGACCGCCAGCUAAGGUCCCAAAGUCACAGUUAAGUGGGAAACGAUGUGGGAAGGCUCAGACAGCCAGGAUGUUGGCUUAGAAGCAGCCAUCAUUUAAAGAAAGCGUAAUAGCUCACUGGUCGAGUCGGCCUGCGCGGAAGAUGUAACGGGGCUAAACUGUGCACCGAAGCUGCGGCAGCGACGCUUAUGCGUUGUUGGGUAGGGGAGCGUUCUGUAAGCCUGCGAAGGUGUCCUGUGAGGGAUGCUGGAGGUAUCAGAAGUGCGAAUGCUGACAUAAGUAACGAUAAUGCGGGUGAAAAGCCCGCUCGCCGGAAGACCAAGGGUUCCUGUCCAACGUUAAUCGGGGCAGGGUGAGUCGACCCCUAAGGCGAGGCCGAAAGGCGUAGUCGAUGGGAAACGGGUUAAUAU
This 770-nucleotide ribosomal RNA is filed under the name Salmonella enterica subsp. enterica serovar Kentucky. RNAcentral's name for it is "partial 23S ribosomal RNA". It matches the Rfam family "Bacterial large subunit ribosomal RNA", at positions 670 to 1436 of the family's 2925-position model. Lineage: Bacteria; Pseudomonadati; Pseudomonadota; Gammaproteobacteria; Enterobacterales; Enterobacteriaceae. The record is from RNAcentral.